GACGAUCGCUGGCUGCGUGGGACCUUCGCUGGUAGUAGUCAAGCGAUGGGGUGACGCAGGAAGGUAGCCGUACCAGUCAGUGGUAAUACUGGGGCAAGCCCGUAGGACGUCAGAUAGGCAAAUCCGUCUGACACAUAGUCCGAGAGGUGAUGCAUAGCCGAUUGCGGCGAAUUCGGUGAUCCUAUGCUGCCGAGAAAAGCCUCUAGCGAGCUCACACACGGCCCGUACCCCAAACCAACACAGGUGGUCAGGUAGAGAAUACCAAGGCGUACGAGUGAACUAUGGUUAAGGAACUCGGCAAAAUACCCCCGUAACUUCGGGAGAAGGGGGACCCUCAUACCGUCAUGGCCUUCGCGGCCGGCAGCGGGAGGGGGUCGCAGAAACCAGUGAGAAGCGACUGUUUACUAAAAACACAGGUCCGUGCGAAGUCGCAAGACGAUGUAUACGGACUGACGCCUGCCCGGUGCUGGAAGGUUAAGAGGACCGGUUAACCCUUCGGGGUGAAGCUGAGAAUUUAAGCCCCAGUAAACGGCGGUGGUAACUAUAACCAUCCUAAGGUAGCGAAAUUCCUUGUCGGGUAAGUUCCGACCUGCACGAAUGGCGUAACGACUUCUCAACUGUCUCAACCAUAGACUCGGCGAAAUUGCAUUACGAGUAAAGAUGCUCGUUACGCGCGGCAGGACGAAAAGACCCCGGGACCUUCACUAUAGCUUGGUAUUGAUGUUCGAUGCGGUUUGUGUAGGAUAGGUGGGAGACUGUGAAACCCGCACGCCAGUGUGGGUGGAGUCGUUGUUGAAAUACCACUCUGAUCGUAUUGGACCUCUAACUUCGAACCAUGAAGCUGGUUCAGGGACAGUGCCUGGUGGGUAGUUUAACUGGGGCGGUUGCCUCCUAAAAUGUAACGGAGGCGCCCAAAGGUUCCCUCAACCUGGACGGCAAUCAGGUGUUGAGUGUAAGUGCACAAGGGAGCUUGACUGUAAGACUGACACGUCAAACAGGGACGAAAGUCGGGACUAGUGAUCCGGCACCCCCGAGUGGAAGGGGUGUCGCUCAACGGAUAAAAGGUACCCCGGGGAUAACAGGCUGAUCUUCCCCAAGAGUCCAUAUCGACGGGAUGGUUUGGCACCUCGAUGUCGGCUCGUCGCAUCCUGGGGCUGGAGCAGGUCCCAAGGGUUGGGCUGUUCGCCCAUUAAAGCGGCACGCGAGCUGGGUUUAGAACGUCGUGAGACAGUUCGGUCUCUAUCCGCCGCGCGCGUCAGAAUCUUGAGGAAACCUGUCCCUAGUACGAGAGGACCGGGACGGACGAACCUCUGGUAUACCAGUUGUUCCACCAGGAGCACGGCUGGAUGGCUACGUUCGGACAGGAUAACCGCUGAAAGCAUCUAAGCGGGAAACCCACUCCAAGACCAGGAUUCUCACCCUUUUAGAGGGAUAAGGCCCCCCGCAGACUACGGGAUCGAUAGACCAGACCUGGAAGCACCGCAAGGUGUGUUAGGGAACUGGCACUAACCGGCCGAAAACUUACAACA
This 1529-nucleotide ribosomal RNA is filed under the name Mycobacterium sp. UM_Kg27. RNAcentral's name for it is "bacterial LSU rRNA". It matches the Rfam family "Bacterial large subunit ribosomal RNA", at positions 1432 to 2925 of the family's 2925-position model. Lineage: Bacteria; Bacillati; Actinomycetota; Actinomycetes; Mycobacteriales; Mycobacteriaceae. The record is from RNAcentral.